This 444-nucleotide ribosomal RNA is filed under the name Escherichia coli. Its description in RNAcentral is "bacterial SSU rRNA". It matches the Rfam family "Bacterial small subunit ribosomal RNA", at positions 1 to 439 of the family's 1533-position model. The record is from RNAcentral. Lineage: Bacteria; Pseudomonadati; Pseudomonadota; Gammaproteobacteria; Enterobacterales; Enterobacteriaceae.
UUAAAUUGAAGAGUUUGAUCAUGGCUCAGAUUGAACGCUGGCGGCAGGCCUAACACAUGCAAGUCGAACGGUAACAGGAAACAGCUUGCUGUUUCGCUGACGAGUGGCGGACGGGUGAGUAAUGUCUGGGAAACUGCCUGAUGGAGGGGGAUAACUACUGGAAACGGUAGCUAAUACCGCAUAACGUCGCAAGACCAAAGAGGGGGACCUUCGGGCCUCUUGCCAUCGGAUGUGCCCAGAUGGGAUUAGCUAGUAGGUGGGGUAACGGCUCACCUAGGCGACGAUCCCUAGCUGGUCUGAGAGGAUGACCAGCCACACUGGAACUGAGACACGGUCCAGACUCCUACGGGAGGCAGCAGUGGGGAAUAUUGCACAAUGGGCGCAAGCCUGAUGCAGCCAUGCCGCGUGUAUGAAGAAGGCCUUCGGGUUGUAAAGUACUUUCAG